RNA transcript from Chenopodium quinoa (quinoa), 1634 nucleotides. RefSeq lists it as uncharacterized. The record is from RefSeq and is a predicted model, not a curated record. The transcript has 5 exons. NCBI's taxonomy places the organism in Eukaryota, Viridiplantae, Streptophyta, Magnoliopsida, Caryophyllales, Amaranthaceae.
CCUUGGUUCAGAGCUUCCAUUUCAAGCAAAGAUUUGGAAUUUGCGAAGGGAAAUUGUAAAAGCACACGCAAUAAGUACUACCAUUGCAGACAAAGCAAUGGAAAAACUCUCGGCCACCAAGAAGCGAGCCGCCUACUACCGCUCCCUUUUGGGCAAGCGGAAGGGCGAGGAGUCGCGUGCAGCUCAGACACCCAAGGGCGGUUCCUCCAAACCCUCUAUUUCUUCUUAGCCGGACCCGAAGCUUCUGAAGCAGACGGCCGGCGAUGUGACGACUCCUGGCAAGUCCAGGAAACAUGUGGCGGCCCAGAGGCCUGGAAGAACCCAUCCUCCUAAGUCCCCAGCCGCCCCUGGGAGUAGCCGACCCCAAAAGGAGAAGGAGGCAGCCGAAGAUGCCCCUCAGAGGCCGGAUUUUCAACAGCUGGCCAAGACUAUGCUGAGAGCCAUCUCCCUUGAGGACAAGAAGUCGUUUAGAGGAGUCGACACCGUCAAUCUUGAUGCCAUCCUCGCUCUUCUCGCUAAGAUAUUUUAACUUGUAAUUUUUACUUUUUUGUGCAACUAUUUUUGCCGCCUGUACUAAUGUUUUGCUCUUUGCCGAAUGCAGUCUAUGCUGCGAGUGCAUGGACUUAGAAAGCCCAUCCACGAGAAGACCAAAGAGGCGGCCGCCAAUCUGCAGGUCAAGGCCGAUUUGGACGCGGCGAAGAGGCGGAUCUCCAAGCUGGAGAAGGUGCUUAAGGACCUCAAGGCUACGCUUGAGCCUCUUAAAGAGGCGGACUCUGAAGCAACCGGACUCUGCACCCCGGUGGACAAACUCAAGGCCAGGCUGCAAAACAAGGAGGUCCAACUCGCCAAGAAGUAUACUUCAAGGGCUGAGGAGGAGAAAGAGGCCCUGGUCAAACAGAUGAUGGACGACUACACGCCAUCAUAAAGAUGACUUGGGAGGCUCUUUUCCCGAAUGCUGGCUAUGAAGGCUGGAAGAAUCAAUUCGCCGCCUCCUCUCAAGAGUACAAUGUAACUCCUGAAUCAAGUUCAAGAGGAAAAGGAGGAGGAGGAAGAGUCUGAUCCGGCCAAGGGGUCUGACCAGGAAGAGGAUUCGGAAGCUGAAAAGGAAUAGGAGCCGGCUGGGAAAAAGAAGGAUGUAGCUGCUGACACUGAGAAGCCCCCUCUUGAAGCUUAAGCCUUGAAUUGUUUUUCUACGGCCGAAUGGCCAUGUAUUACUUUCCUCGGCCUGCGUACCAUCCAACGAUCACAAUACAAUUCGAGUCAAACAAAACAAUUUCAUUUGAAAUCAAGAACCUGCGUUUUUUCUCACUCCUCCUUCCUCUUUCACGCGCAAUUUUCUCUCUCCUCAUUCAGUUCAUCCGUUUUUCUACUCUCUUUCUCUCUGAUUUUUCAUCAUAAUUUCUUUAAUCUUCAUCAAUUCUUCGUCAAGGUGAGUUUAUUGUUUAUAUUUUGCUGUUUUUCAAUUAAUUUUAGGUUACAUUCAUCGUUUAUUUUCGUUUUAGUUUUCGUUUAAUUUUUGUUGAUUUCAGCUCACAUUGUUUAUUACUUUGUGUCGAUUAUGUUUUAGUUUGUUUUUUUUUUGUUGAUUUUAGUUUUAUUUUCGUUUUUUUGAGUAGUUAUCAAGUUGAUUUUAG